Molecule: ribosomal RNA, 886 nt
Filed under: uncultured bacterium
Lineage: Bacteria
Description: bacterial SSU rRNA
Rfam family: Bacterial small subunit ribosomal RNA
Source: RNAcentral
GUGCCAGCCGCCGCGGUAAUACGGAAGGUCCGGGUGUUAUCCGGAUUUAUUGGGUUUAAAGGGAGCGCAGGCUGAAGGUUAAGCGUGACGUGAAAUGUAGCCGCUCAACGGCUGAACUGCGUCGCGAACUGGCUUUCUUGAGUGAGUACGACGUCAGCGGAAUUCGUGGUGUAGCGGUGAAAUGCUUAGAUAUCACGAAGAACCCCGAUUGCGAAGGCAGCUGGCGAGUCCUUUACUGACGCUAAAGCUCGAAGGUGCGGGUAUCGAACAGGAUUAGAUACCCUGGUAGUCCGCACGUAAACGAUGGAUGCCCGCUGUUGGCGACACACUGUCAGCGGCCAAGCGAAAGCGUUAAGCAUCCCACCUGGGGAGUACGCCGGCAACGGUGAAACUCAAAGGAAUUGACGGGGGCCCGCACAAGCGGAGGAACAUGUGGUUUAAUUCGAUGAUACGCGAGGAACCUUACCCGGGCUUGAACUGCAGGUGAACGAUCCAGAGAUGGUGAGGUCCUUCGGGACACCUGUGGAGGUGCUGCAUGGUUGUCGUCAGCUCGUGCCGUGAGGUGUCGGCUUAAGUGCCAUAACGAGCGCAACCCUGCCGUCAGUUGCCAUCAGGUAGAGCUGGGCACUCUGUCGGGACUGCCACCGUAAGGUGCGAGGAAGGUGGGGAUGACGUCAAAUCAGCACGGCCCUUACGUCCGGGGCUACACACGUGUUACAAUGGGCGGUACAGAGAGUCGGUCGGCGGCAAUGCCGAUCCAAUCCUCAAAGCCGUCCUCAGUUCGGAUUGGGUCUGCAACCCGACCCCAUGAAGCUGGAUUCGCUAGUAAUCGCGCAUCAGCCAUGGCGCGGUGAAUACGUUCCCGGGCCUUGCACACACCGCCCGU